AAAAGCUUUCUUUAAUUGAAUAAUUGAAUUUAAUUUUUUAGUGCAAAAGCAAAAAUAAAAAUUAGGGACAAGAAGACCCUAUGAAUUUUUAUUAAAUUUUAUAAAACUUUAUAUAAAAUUUAAUUUAAUUGGGGUGAUGGAAAAAGAAUAAAUAUCUUUUUUUUAAAAAAAAUUGGUUCCGUUUUUAGCGAUUAAAUGAAAAAAAUACUCUAGGGAUAACAGCGUAAUAAUUUUGGAUAGUUCAUAUAGAUAAAAUAGUUUGCGACCUCGAUGUUGGAUUAGGAUUCUUUUUUGGUGAAGAAGUUAAAAAAAGAAGUUUGUUCAACUUAUAAUUUCCUACUUGAUCUGAGUUCAGACCGG
This 360-nucleotide ribosomal RNA is filed under the name Ixodes ricinus (castor bean tick). RNAcentral's name for it is "partial 16S ribosomal RNA". The stretch from base 66 to 360 matches the Rfam family "Bacterial large subunit ribosomal RNA", at positions 2078 to 2619 of the family's 2925-position model. Lineage: Eukaryota; Metazoa; Arthropoda; Arachnida; Ixodida; Ixodidae. The record is from RNAcentral.